AUUGAGUUUGCUCUCAGCCAUCGGGCUUCUGCUUGAGGUUCAAUCUCCGAAUCUCCAUCGCAGGCCGUGUUUCAAGUUUCCAUCACAAAGUUACUCCCAUGGCUUCCACUUCGACCAAGGAUGUUGUUGCUGAUGAGAAGACAGCGUCAUCAGAAAACAAAAAUACCAAAAGUGAAACACCCAAAAGUGAAACAUCCAAAAGGGAAACAUCCUCUGCAGAACAGCAGCCAGAUAAACCAAAAUCUACCUCUGCUUCACCUCACGAAGGAGAAUUUCCUCCAAAUCCUUUUGAUUUCUCAGCAAUGACUGGUUUGCUUAAUGAUCCUAGCAUUCAAGAAUUAGCUUCUCAAAUAGCAAAAGAUCCUGCAUUUAAUCAGAUGGCAUCGCAACUUCAGAAGACUUUUCAAGGUGCUUCUGCUCAGCAGGGUAUUCCUCAGUUUGAUACACAACAAUACUAUUCUACCAUGCAGCAGGUCAUGCAGAAUCCUCAAUUCAUGACAAUGGCUGAGCGCCUUGGCAAUGCAUUAAUGCAGGAUCCAUCCAUGUCUAGCAUGCUGGAAACUUUUGCAAAUCCAUCAAAUAAAGAGCAGCUUGAGGAACGUAUGGCACAAAUCAAGGAAGAUCCAAG
This 628-nucleotide unclassified non-coding RNA is filed under the name Hevea brasiliensis (rubber tree). The record is from RNAcentral. Lineage: Eukaryota; Viridiplantae; Streptophyta; Magnoliopsida; Malpighiales; Euphorbiaceae.